GGGGGGUUGGCGCAACGGUAGCGCAUUGGAUUCCAGAUCAGACAUGGAGCUUCCCAAAAGUUAUCGGCUCAAAUCCGAUGUCCCUCG
Molecule: non-coding RNA, 87 nt
Organism: Sodiomyces alkalinus F11
Lineage: Eukaryota; Fungi; Ascomycota; Sordariomycetes; Glomerellales; Plectosphaerellaceae
Source: the annotation of a RefSeq genome assembly